RNAcentral lists this ribosomal RNA (205 nucleotides) under Salinivibrio siamensis. RNAcentral's name for it is "partial 23S ribosomal RNA". It matches the Rfam family "Bacterial large subunit ribosomal RNA", at positions 1 to 201 of the family's 2925-position model. The record is from RNAcentral. Lineage: Bacteria; Pseudomonadati; Pseudomonadota; Gammaproteobacteria; Vibrionales; Vibrionaceae.
GUUGUAUGGUUAAGUGAUUAAGCGUAGACGGUGGAUGCCUUGGCAGUCAGAGGCGAUGAAGGACGUACUAACCUGCGAAAAGCGAUGGUGAGCUGGUAAGAAGCAUUUGAGCCAUCGAUGUCCGAAUGGGGAAACCCACCUGCAUAAGCAGGUAUCUUAGUGUGAAUACAUAGCGCUAAGAGGCGAACUCGGGGAACUGAAACAU